AGUGAACGCUGGCGGUAGGCCUAACACAUGCCAGUCGAACGGCAGCACAGUAAGAGCUUGCUCUUACGGGUGGCGAGUGGCGGACGGGUGAGGAAUACAUCGGAAUCUACUUUUUCGUGGGGGAUAACGUAGGGAAACUUACGCUAAUACCGCAUACGACCUACGGGUGAAAGCAGGGGAUCUUCGGACCUUGCGCGAUUGAAUGAGCCGAUGUCGGAUUAGCUAGUUGGCGGGGUAAAGGCCCACCAAGGCGACGAUCCGUAGCUGGUCUGAGAGGAUGAUCAGCCACACUGGAACUGAGACACGGUCCAGACUCCUACGGGAGGCAGCAGUGGGGAAUAUUGGACAAUGGGCGCAAGCCUGAUCCAGCCAUACCGCGUGGGUGAAGAAGGCCUUCGGGUUGUAAGGCCCUUUUGUUGGGGAAGAAAAGCAGCAGGUUAAUACCCCGCUGUUCUGACGGUACCCAAAGAAUAAGCACCGGCUAACUUCGUG
RNAcentral lists this ribosomal RNA (492 nucleotides) under uncultured bacterium. RNAcentral describes it as "partial 16S ribosomal RNA". It matches the Rfam family "Bacterial small subunit ribosomal RNA", at positions 29 to 507 of the family's 1533-position model. The record is from RNAcentral.